RNAcentral lists this non-coding RNA (30 nucleotides) under Homo sapiens (human). The record is from RNAcentral. Lineage: Eukaryota; Metazoa; Chordata; Mammalia; Primates; Hominidae.
UCCAUCAGGCUCGGAAUUGGUGAGCAUCUC